GUCCCAGCCUUUAAAUCAAUUUUUGCACAACUUACACAUGCAAUGUCUCCGGCACACCCGUAAAAAAUGCCCUUCACCCCUGCCCAGGAAAAAGGAGCUGAUAUCAGGAACGCAUCUGCCCAAAACAUCUAGCCACGCCACACCCUCAAGGGUACUCAGCAGUGAUCAACAUUAAAUUAAUAAACGCCAGUUUAAUUUAGCCAGUGAUAACAGGGCCGGCCAAUCUGUGUGCCAGCCGCCGCGGUUACACCAAUGAGGCCCAAAUUGACCCUACUACGGCGUAAAGCGUGAUUAAAGAAACACCUCACUGCGGCUAAACUAAAACUGAGCUGUUAAACGCCUGUUUCAAGAAACUCCUAUUAAAAAAUGCCCCAAUCUAUCAACUUGAACUCACGACAACUAGAAAACAAACUGAGAUUAGGUACCUCACUAUGUCUAGUCGUAAACUUUAACCUACCCCCCUCCCACGCCAGAGAACUACGAGCUAAGCUUAAAACUCAAAGGACCUGACGGUACCCUAUGCCCCCUAGAGGAGCCUGUCUUAUAAUCGAUAUUCCCCGCUCAACCUCACCAUUUUUGGCUGUUUUUCAGCUUGUAUACUUCCGAUGAUAGCUUACCGCAUGAGUGAAACUUAGUGAGCAUAAUGAUUACACCAUUACACCAAUACACCAGGUCAAAGUGCAGCAAACAAAAUGGAAUAUAGAUGGGCUACACUCUCUAAUAUAGAAGACACGAAAAGAUUAUUUGAAAUUAUGAUCGGAAGGUGGAUUUAGAAGUAAAUAGAAGUUAGAGUAUUCUAUUUAAUUUAGGCUCUGGGGUGUGUACACACCGCCCGUCACCCUCUUCGAUAUACCCCUAAGUUCAUAACAUCUAACCCCCUCACAGAAGAGGUAAGUCGUAACAUGGUAAGUAUACCGGAAGGUGUGCUUGGAAC
Molecule: non-coding RNA, 934 nt
Filed under: Pristimantis bipunctatus
Lineage: Eukaryota; Metazoa; Chordata; Amphibia; Anura; Strabomantidae
Description: partial 12S ribosomal RNA
Rfam family: Microsporidia small subunit ribosomal RNA
Source: RNAcentral